This 654-nucleotide long non-coding RNA is filed under the name Mus musculus (house mouse). RNAcentral describes it as "RIKEN cDNA 9230102K24 gene". Lineage: Eukaryota; Metazoa; Chordata; Mammalia; Rodentia; Muridae. The record is from RNAcentral.
ACUCAGGAUAUCUGAAAAUGCCACAGGAGAAAUACUUGGUUUUAUCAGUACAAGGAAGAUGAGAACAUGAAGAUCUUGUCUCUGCUGAGUUUGUUACAACGCGACAGUUACGUGGAACACUGCGAGGCCUAAUCUAAGGCACAUGAAGGACAGGAUGAGGAUGACCGUUGAAGAACCCAGCUGUCGGGGACAAUUGCUUUAAAGUCUUUGUAAUGUUACCCCAAGGAAGCCCAAGAGAUGAGCAAGAAGAUUGAUCACAGAACACUGAACAGAACUAAGCAGACCACAGCCAAAUGGAUAAUGUUUCACAAAGAACUUGUAAUCUCUGAAUGCAGGGCUUCGUUUCAACCACAUGCAUUCCAUAACGGCUAUAAAUUCCAUUAGCACUAAAUAUCCACUGAGCUCUAAGCCAAGGAGAGGAACAAAAUAUCAAAACAGCCUUGUGUGUUUCAACUAUUAUUUAGAGAGUGGUUCCUCCAUGCCAGGCACUAGAGUAGGUGAUUAGAGGACUCAGUGAAUAAGAACACAGUUCCUGCAGCCUGCAUGUGCUUUGAGAAGUGGCAAUCUUAGACCUUGAAAUAAAUAAUUUCAGUGUAUAGACAGUACAAUGGAUAAUACACACAAGUGCAUAUGGAAGUGGAAUGUAUGGAAGUG